UAUGCCUACGGGACGCAGCAGUGGGGAAUAUUGGGCAGUGGGCGCAAGCCUGACCCAGCAACGCCGCGUGAAGGAAGAAGGCUUUCGGGUUGUAAACUUCUUUUAAGAGGGAAGAGAAGAAGACGGUACCUCUUGAAUAAGCCACGGCUCACUACGUGCCAGCAGCCGCGGUAAUACGUAGGUGGCAAGCGUUGUCCGGAUUUACUGGGUGUAAAGGGCGUGCAGCCGGGCUGACAAGUCAGAUGUGAAAUCCCGCGGCUCAACCGCGGCACUGCAUUUGGAACUGUCAGUCUUGUGUACCGGAG
Molecule: ribosomal RNA, 305 nt
Filed under: uncultured bacterium
Lineage: Bacteria
Description: bacterial SSU rRNA
Rfam family: Bacterial small subunit ribosomal RNA
Source: RNAcentral